GGAAGCUGAAAAUCCGUCCUCUGAGCCGAAUGUGGGAAAUCAGAAAUGACUACGCAGAGAUGCCACAGGCAGUGGUAUAUAGUGUUUGCGUCGUGCCAAGGUCCCAGGCUGACAGUGAGAAGCAAAAAUUCAAGAAGAUAUUUGCAUGCCCACAUCCACAGAAGUGUAAGCUCUCCAAAAAGCCAGAAGGAGCAAAGAGCCCAUGAUGGAGCAGGGCGCCCGAGGGUCCAUUGGUGAAUGAGUGGAGAACCAGAGGGCCAAGCACACACAGGGCAGACUCUCACUCAGCCAGAACGCGGAGUGGGCUUCUGAGACAUCCUGCAACAGGCUGAACCAUGGAAGCAGAGUGCUCCGGGAGAGCAGCUGGACACAAAGGAUGGAAGUUGCAUAACUCCACUUAGGCGGGUUCUUAGAGCGGACAGAGUCGUGAGGACAGAAUCGAGGCUACUAGGCAAGCAAUUCAUGGAUACAAGGUUGCGUUUGGGUUGAUGGACAGGUUCCAAAGACACAUCGUGGCUACGGUUCGUAGCACUGUGAACUGUUAAAACUUAAUAGAGUAAAUCUCCUGGUAUGUAUGUUUUACCAUGAUGAGAAAAAAAAAACAGUAAUAAAAUAGCCAAGCAAAAGAACUAUGUAUAGGCAGGGAAGAGCACUCCCACCAUCCACAGCAUCUUCAGAGGGAAUCAGUGUAACAAGAUCUGGAAAGAACCCACAGGAAGAAAUCACAAAAUUUCACUAAGGCUCCCAAAGAGUUCUAUUAGUGGAGAGAGAGGGGGAGACACUAUGUUCCUGGUGGAAAAACUCAAAUUUGGUAAGGAUGUCAUUUCUCCACAAAUGCGUCUCUAAAUAUAAGGCAACCCCAGUCAAAACCCAGAUAUCGUUUUGGCACUAAACCAAACGACUCUACAGCCUAGCAUAAAUACUAAGCACAGAAUAAGCAAGAGCAGCUCUAUAAAGAAAAUGGGCAAAGGAAAGGGAAGAGGGGAGAAGAAGGAGAAGCAGGGAAGGAGUUAGAGGAGAGGUUCUUACUGGCAUUAAAAAAAAUAACCAUUUAUUCUUGGGGUACCAACCUCAUAAUAAAAAGUAAAAUGAAAUAUAGAAUCCAGAAACAAAUUUUAAAAAUUGCUUUUAAUAAAAAGCUGUAUCUCAAGAGAUUAGCCAAAAAAUGGAACACUUUUUAAAAUGGUGCUGAGGGACCUACAUUUGUGUCAAAAUUGUGCAGAACAAAGUUCUACUAAAAGCAUAUGAGUGACACCUAGGGCGGGAUAAUGCCAGUGUCCCAAUGGUGUGAUUACACUGUCAUUUUGCAAAAAAAAAAAAAAUUAUCAUUGGAGAAAACUGAGUAAAAGGGAAAUAAUGCCUUCCCAUGUUACUUCAUACAAAUACAUGUCCAUCUGCAAUUAUCUCAAAUAAAACCUUUAAUUAAAAUGAUAUAAACUAUUUUAAAACAUUAGACUGCUGAAAUUUUAAAUUAACAUCUUUAUUAUUUUUAAAAUUUUUUAAAAAUUCUAUUUUAUGUAAGUGAAUGUCUUGCCUGUACAUAUGUAUACCACAUGAGCGCUGUGCCUACAGAGACCAAAAGAGCGCAUCAGAUCCACUGGAACUGGAGUAUCAGAUUGCUAUGAGUAGACAUGGGGUUCUGGAACUUGAACAAGAGCAUCUUAACCGUUGAGUCAUCUCUUCGGUCCAAUAUUAUAUUUUUAAAAUACUAGAACCCUAAGUAUAUUCCCAGGGCAAGGAAGGAUUUUUCAUGACCUCCAAGUCAAAAGCUAUAAUGGAACAAAUUGAUUUGUUUGUGUGGAAAUUAAACUUCUGUCUAACUACAAAACAUUUAUGUCAAAAUAAAAGACAAACACACACAGGAAAAUUUUUUUUGCAAUACAUAUAAAAGUUGAAAGGGGUGGGAAGGCAGGGUAGACCUGGGAGGAAUGGGAGUGGAUAUGAUCCAAAUACAUUGUAUGCUUGUCUGAAAUUCUCAAAGAAUAAAUAAAAUAGCAUAUUCUUAAAAGAAGAGCUUAAACCUUCUUAACAUAUGAAGGGUUCCUAUAAAUCAAUAAAAAGGAUAAAUGUUUUCAUAGGAAAUGGACUAAAGAUGAAAAUAUACAACUCACAAAAGAAGAAACAAAACAUGAGGGACAAUACAAGGACUGGAGUGGGAAAUGCAGAGGCGGAAAAGGUGAAAUCCAGAGGUCGGUCCAGUCAUGCACAGCAAGUGCCCGCAUCUUCCCUGGCGAGGCAAGGUUUGGCCUUAGGUAGAGGUUCAGCGAAUGCGUGUUGAAUAGGUAUGUGGAGAUAAAGAAUGCGGGCGACCUGCCAAGCUGAAGAUACAGCCAAGAUGCAGUUAGGAGAAAAGUGGGGGUAGAGAAUGGUUUUUAUGGGGAAGAGGGCACGUUAGGUGAAGUUAUGUGGUAGAGCCUAUUCUGCCAGCAGAAUUAGAAAUGAUGUCAUCGGAAGAACAUGUCUUUGUGUCGGUUACAGAGAGCCUCCACUGCAGUGCACUCAGAAGAUGCUCUCAGCCAUUGUCUUCCGGGUCCUUUGUCUGCAUCUGUGGCUGGUACCGCCACCACCCCCGCCCCCAGCAUUUUAUCCCUUCCAUUCCUCAGUGGAUGACAAUGUGCCAUCUCUCCUCCCCAGAGGGUUCACAUUUGGACUUCUGAAGUCACUCACUUGAAACCCUGGCAUUUAUGUUACCAGCUCGAAGUUCACAGAAGUGGCUGAGGUCAUUGUUUGUUCCCUUUGUAUUAAAAUAAAUCCUAGCAAAUAC
Molecule: long non-coding RNA, 2764 nt
Organism: Myodes glareolus (Bank vole)
Lineage: Eukaryota; Metazoa; Chordata; Mammalia; Rodentia; Cricetidae
Source: RefSeq, a predicted model, not a curated record